GGAGAGGUGCGAGAGUGGCCGAAUCGGGGCGCCUCGAAAGCGUCUAGGGGCUUUGCGGUCCCUCGCGGGUUCAAAUCCCGCCCUCUCCGCCA
Molecule: transfer RNA, 92 nt
Filed under: Actinomycetes bacterium
Lineage: Bacteria; Bacillati; Actinomycetota; Actinomycetes
Also listed under: 2 other names
Description: Actinobacteria bacterium tRNA-Ser
Rfam family: tRNA
About the family: Transfer RNA (tRNA) molecules are approximately 80 nucleotides in length. Their secondary structure includes four short double-helical elements and three loops (D, anti-codon, and T loops).
Source: RNAcentral